GAGGAAAAGAAACUAACAAGGAUUCCCCUAGUAACUGCGAGUGAAGCGGGAAAAGCUCAAAUUUGUAAUCUGGCGGUCUUGGGCCGUCCGAAUUGUAAACUAGAGAAGUGUUAUCCGCGCUGGACCGUGUACAAGUCCCCUGGAAUGGGGCGUCAUAGAGGGUGAGAAUCCCGUCUUUGACACGGACUACCAGGGCUUUGUGAUGCGCUCUCAAAGAGUCGAGUUGUUUGGGAAUGCAGCUCAAAAUGGGUGGUAAAUUCCAUCUAAAGCUAAAUAUUGGCGAGAGACCGAUAGCGAACAAGUACCGUGAGGGAAAGAUGAAAAGAACUUUGGAAAGAGAGUUAAACAGUACGUGAAAUUGCUGAAAGGGAAACGCUUGAAGUCAGUCGCGUUGGCUAGGGAUCAGCCUUACUUUUGUGGGGUGUACUUCCUUGUCGACGGGUCAGCAUCAGUUUUGGUUGCUGGAUAAAGGCUGGGGGAAUGUGGCAUCUUCGGAUGUGUUAUAGCCCCUGGUUGGAUACAGUGGCUGGGACUGAGGAACUCAGCACGCGCAAGCUGUGCUUAGGAUGCUGGCAAAAUGGCUUUAAUCGACCCGUCUU
Molecule: ribosomal RNA, 599 nt
Filed under: Hohenbuehelia josserandii
Lineage: Eukaryota; Fungi; Basidiomycota; Agaricomycetes; Agaricales; Pleurotaceae
Description: partial large subunit ribosomal RNA
Rfam family: Eukaryotic large subunit ribosomal RNA
Source: RNAcentral